Non-coding RNA from Danio rerio (zebrafish), 796 nucleotides. Lineage: Eukaryota; Metazoa; Chordata; Actinopteri; Cypriniformes; Danionidae. The record is from Ensembl.
ACACACACACACACUCGCACAGAUACAUUCACUGGAGCGCCGACUCUCUGCUGAGCUCCAUUCUUUAAAAGGCUCUACAGCUUGAGAGCUUCAUCCUGCUCUCGGAAAUCACUUGUCCUGGAAAAGAGUCCAGGAUUGCAAAAAAAGGCUCUGGUUUUUAAGGAGUGUUUUACAAGUUGGAGGCAUCCAGAGUCUGACGGGAUAGGACUGAGCCACUGUGUUUCACAAAAACUAUUCCGCUAACCUUUCAGCUGUAAGAAGCUCACUUCAGGAUCUGCCCCAUCCUGGUGGGUCACUCAGCCGGACUGAUGUGGAAUGCGACCCUUUAUGACCCCAUCCCACGGGCCUCUAUUCAAUGAGCCGGACUCGGGAGAGCACAGAUAAUAGAAGCAAGAGGCUGCCCCACAAAAAAGAGUGAAGUAACAGCAGCAGGAGUGUUCGGACUGGUAAGAAAGUUAAAGGGGCCCUUAAAGGUGGGGAAAAAGAGCUUAAAACACAAAAGAGCAGGAAUAAAGAGACCUGUGAAAACAAAAGUCUUUCUUGGGACUGCAAGGCUUUCAUAAAAGCAAGAAAAACUUUGACCCUUAGCCUUCAUUUCACCUCUUAAAUUAAUCCCACUGCUACCCAUCAUGCCAGUGGAGACCCUUCGUCCCACAGAUGGACGUCUGACGGGGGGUCCCUUCACCUCUGCCAUGCCUUUCCGUAUCCUCAACAAAGGCCCGGGCUACUUUCGCAGACUACCAGAGACAGGAACUCGGAAGCUUAGUGCAGUUGAGCGCCUGGAAGCAGACAAGGC